RNAcentral lists this transfer RNA (77 nucleotides) under Alphaproteobacteria bacterium. RNAcentral's name for it is "tRNA-Pro". It matches the Rfam family "tRNA". From Rfam's summary of the family: Transfer RNA (tRNA) molecules are approximately 80 nucleotides in length. RNAcentral also lists the same sequence under 3 other names. The record is from RNAcentral. Lineage: Bacteria; Pseudomonadati; Pseudomonadota; Alphaproteobacteria.
CGGAGUGUAGCGCAGCCUGGUAGCGCAACUGCUUUGGGAGCAGUGGGUCGGGAGUUCGAAUCUCUCCACUCCGACCA